RNAcentral lists this ribosomal RNA (497 nucleotides) under uncultured bacterium. RNAcentral describes it as "partial 16S ribosomal RNA". It matches the Rfam family "Bacterial small subunit ribosomal RNA", at positions 28 to 507 of the family's 1533-position model. The record is from RNAcentral.
GAUGAACGCUGGCGGCGUGCCUAAUACAUGCAAGUCGAGCGAACAGACGAGGAGCUUGCUCCUCUGACGUUAGCGGCGGACGGGUGAGUAACACGUGGAUAACCUACCUAUAAGACUGGGAUAACUUCGGGAAACCGGAGCUAAUACCGGAUAAUAUAUUGAACCGCAUGGUUCAAUAGUGAAAGACGGUUUUGCUGUCACUUAUAGAUGGAUCCGCGCCGCAUUAGCUAGUUGGUAAGGUAACGGCUUACCAGGGCAACGAUGCGUAGCCGACCUGAGAGGGUGAUCGGCCACACUGGAACUGAGACACGGUCCAGACUCCUACGGGAGGCAGCAGUAGGGAAUCCUCCGCAAUGGGCGAAAGCCUGACGGAGCAACGCCGCGUGAGUGAUGAAGGUCUUCGGAUCGUAAAACUCUGUUAUUAGGGAAGAACAAAUGUGUAAGUAACUAUGCACGUCUUGACGGUACCUAAUCAGAAAGCCACGGCUAACUACGUG